UGCAUGCUUUUACAGUAUGAAAAUUGGUGAUUUAUAAUAACUUAGCAAAUCGCAAAGUGAAAACAGGCGAUAAAUCAUUCAAGUUUCUGACCUAUCAGCUUUCGACGGUAUGGUAUUGGCUUACCGUGGCAGUGACGGUUAACGGGGGAUUAGGGUUCGAUUCCGGAGAGGGAGCCUGAGAAACGGCUACCACAUCUAAGGAAGGCAGCAGGCGCGCAAAUUACCCAAUUCUAACAGUUUGAGAGAGGUAGUAACAAGAAAUAACAAUACAAGGCAGUUAAAAUGCUUUGUAAUUGGAAUGAUAGAAAUUUAAACCCUUUUUAAAGUAUCAAUUGGAGGGCAAGUCUGGUGCCAGCAGCCGCGGUAAUUCCAGCUCCAAUAGCGUAUAUUAAAAUUGUUGCAGUUAAAAAGCUCGUAGUUGAAGUUCUGCUAAAAGUAACCGGUCUGCUUUGAAUAAAAGUGGUAUCUUGGUAUGUAUUUAGCAAUGAUGUCCUUUGAAGUGUUUUUUACUUUAUUGUAAUAAAGCAUAUUCAGGACUUUUACUUUGAGAAAAUUAGAGUGUUUCUAGCAGGCCAACGCUUUGAAUACUGCAGCAUGGAAUAAUAAG
RNAcentral lists this ribosomal RNA (607 nucleotides) under Hepatozoon canis. RNAcentral's name for it is "SSU rRNA". It matches the Rfam family "Eukaryotic small subunit ribosomal RNA", at positions 225 to 821 of the family's 1831-position model. The record is from RNAcentral. Lineage: Eukaryota; Apicomplexa; Hepatozoidae.